AGUGAACGCUGGCGGUAGGCCUAACACAUGCCAGUCGAACGGCAGCACAGUAAGAGCUUGCUCUUACGGGUGGCGAGUGGCGGACGGGUGAGGAAUACAUCGGAAUCUACUUUUUCGUGGGGGAUAACGUAGGGAAACUUACGCUAAUACCGCAUACGACCUACGGGUGAAAGCAGGGGAUCUUCGGACCUUGCGCGAUUGAAUGAGCCGAUGUCGGAUUAGCUAGUUGGCGGGGUAAAGGCCCACCAAGGCGACGAUCCGUAGCUGGUCUGAGAGGAUGAUCAGCCACACUGGAACUGAGACACGGUCCAGACUCCUACGGGAGGCAGCAGUGGGGAAUAUUGGACAAUGGGCGCAAGCCUGAUCCAGCCAUACCGCGUGGGUGAAGAAGGCCUUCGGGUUGUAAAGCCCUUUUGUUGGGAAAGAAAUCCAGCCGGCUAAUACCUGGUUGGGAUGACGGUACCCAAAGAAUAAGCACCGGCCAACUUCGU
Molecule: ribosomal RNA, 491 nt
Filed under: uncultured bacterium
Lineage: Bacteria
Description: partial 16S ribosomal RNA
Rfam family: Bacterial small subunit ribosomal RNA
Source: RNAcentral